Mus musculus (house mouse) is the source of this 1021-nucleotide long non-coding RNA. RefSeq annotates it as predicted gene, 40105. The transcript has 3 exons. The record is from RefSeq and is a predicted model, not a curated record. Lineage: Eukaryota; Metazoa; Chordata; Mammalia; Rodentia; Muridae.
AAGGGAAGUGGGAGUUUAAGUCUAUAAAAAUGCGGAGCUGUGUGGAGCUGCUCUGGCCUUUAAGAAGGGCAAAGAGGAGGUCUCUCUCACCCAGGAAAGCUAAGUGGCAGCUGCAGGCACUGUGCUGACCUGGGCUGUCCAAGUUCUCCAGUUACUCUGGUCUACAGCUGGAGAUCCCAUGGCCACAGCCAGCCAAGGCCCUUGGAAACACGCUGAAGACGUCUCUUUCUACCCAACUAUUUACUCGAGAGCUUCAUAUUAAAGCCAGAAUCGCAUUGUUUUUUCUAAGCAGAAUACAACCACGUGGAAUGUCUGAGCUCAAAUAUGAACCCAGAGCAAAUUUAAAACACCAUAGGUGGGUUAUCAACCAACUCUGACACAUUGCAAAUGGUCUGGUUCUUUUCUUUUCUUUGAGCAGAUGAGCAACCAAAUGAGGGAGUCCCUGCAGGAGAAAAGCAUGGCAAAGCUUACUGCGUUUCAGACAACCGUUGUAAAUAGCUGGCCUGGUUUCACCACAAGAACAAAGCAAGAUGAGGGGCUCAAGACUUCACCAAGCAGAUCUGUAUCUGAAAUCCCGAUAGAUCCAGUUGAAAGCUAUGGUACCUUAAGCAUUUUAUUAACCAUUUCUUAACCAUUUCUCUCAGGCUAUUUCCUUAUGGACAAAGAUGGACAAAGUCCCACCAAAAAACAGAGUGGAUGCAAUGUAGUUAGCAGCUGCUGGACGUAAGAGGGCUGAAUUCAGACAUUAGAACCCAGAGGUGUGGGACCUGAAGUUUGAUGAGUUUUGUUCCAUCACAGAAGCAAAGUGAAGAAUGACCGACAUAGAACAAAAACCCUGCCCUCAAGAAAUCCUGACUGUCUAGCUUGUCUUUGUAAAAUAUCAGUAAAUAUCUGUCCUUAAACAUUUUCUGAUUUUUCCAAGUGUGCAUCAGUCAUAUUAAGAAAUCACACAUGUUCUUAGAUUUGGAAUUCCAUUUCAGUAGCACAGCAUAUACUUCACAUGAGUUCUGGAUUUAAGCUC